Caenorhabditis elegans is the source of this 289-nucleotide non-coding RNA. NCBI's taxonomy places the organism in Eukaryota, Metazoa, Nematoda, Chromadorea, Rhabditida, Rhabditidae. The record is from Ensembl.
ACAAAUGUACAAAUACAUGAGAUUAGAUGCGUACCUUUCAUCAAAUUUAUCCGUGAUUAUAACUUUUGUCGUUUUCUUUUUACUUUUUCUUAUCACUUGUCCGUUCAUGGAAUUGGAUAUGAACGUACACAUUUGUAUUACGCAACAAUAUAUUCUACAUGUACCCGUUCCAUAAGUGGUGAUUAUUUAGAGAAAUUGUCUAGAAUCUAGAACUAUUAGUCACGCCUUACUGACCAGAUUUAAGAUACUAAUGAAUAAAUGUGAAAGUGGUUUGAUUUAUUGGCAUGUU